UGGGGAAUUUUGGACAAUGGGCGAAAGCCUGAUCCAGCAAUGCCGCGUGUGUGAAGAAGGCCUUCGGGUUGUAAAGCACUUUUGUCCGGAAAGAAAUCCUUGGCUCUAAUACAGUCGGGGGAUGACGGUACCGGAAGAAUAAGCACCGGCUAACUACGUGCCAGCAGCCGCGGUAAUACGUAGGGUGCAAGCGUUAAUCGGAAUUACUGGGCGUAAAGCGUGCGCAGGCGGUUUGCUAAGACCGAUGUGAAAUCCCCGAGCUCAACCUGGGAACUGCAUUGGUGACUGGCAGGCUAGAGUAUGGCAGAGGGGGGUAGAAUUCCACGUGUANCAGUGAAAUGCGUAGAGAUGUGGAGGAAUACCGAUGGCGAAGGCAGCCCCCUGGGCCAAUACUGACGCUCAUGCACGAAAAGCGUGGGGAGCAAAACAGGAUUAGAUACCCUGGUAGUCCACGCCCUAAACGAUGUCAACUAGUUGUUGGGGAUUCAUUUCCUUAGUAACGUAGCUAACGCGUGAAGUUGACCGCCU
Molecule: ribosomal RNA, 528 nt
Filed under: uncultured bacterium
Lineage: Bacteria
Description: partial 16S ribosomal RNA
Rfam family: Bacterial small subunit ribosomal RNA
Source: RNAcentral